UACGAAGGGGGCUAGCGUUGCUCGGAAUCACUGGGCGUAAAGGGUGCGUAGGCGGGUUAUUAAGUCAGAAGUGAAAUCCUGGAGCUCAACUCCAGAACUGCCUUUGAUACUGAUAGUCUUGAGUAUGGGAGAGGUGAGUGGAACUGCGAGUGUAGAGGUGAAAUUCGUAGAUAUUCGCAAGAACACCAGUGGCGAAGGCGGCUCACUGGCCCAUUACUGACGCUGAGGCACGAAAGCGUGGGGAGCAAACAGG
RNAcentral lists this ribosomal RNA (253 nucleotides) under uncultured bacterium. RNAcentral describes it as "partial 16S ribosomal RNA". It matches the Rfam family "Bacterial small subunit ribosomal RNA", at positions 524 to 776 of the family's 1533-position model. The record is from RNAcentral.